UACGUAGGGCGCAAGCGUUAUCCGGAAUUAUUGGGCGUAAAGAGUUCGUAGGCGGUUUGUCGCGUCGUUUGUGAAAACUCACAGCUCAACUGUGAGCCUGCAGGCGAUACGGGCAGACUUGAGUACUGCAGGGGAGACUGGAAUUCCUGGUGUAGCGGUGAAAUGCGCAGAUAUCAGGAAGAACACCGGUGGCGAAGGCGGCUCUCUGGGCCUACCUGACGCUGAGGAGCGAAAGCAUGGGGAGCGAACAGG
RNAcentral lists this ribosomal RNA (252 nucleotides) under uncultured bacterium. RNAcentral's name for it is "partial 16S ribosomal RNA". It matches the Rfam family "Bacterial small subunit ribosomal RNA", at positions 524 to 776 of the family's 1533-position model. The record is from RNAcentral.